GGUAAUGGCCCACCAAGGCGACGAUCGGUAGCUGGUCUGAGAGGAUGAUCAGCCACAUUGGGACUGAGACACGGCCCAAACUCCUACGGGAGGCAGCAGUGGGGAAUAUUGGACAAUGGGCGCAAGCCUGAUCCAGCCAUGCCGCGUGAGUGAUGACGGCCUUAGGGUUGUAAAGCUCUUUCGUCAGGGACGAUAAUGACGGUACCUGAAGAAGAAGCCCCGGCUAACUUCGUGCCAGCAGCCGCGGUAAUACGAAGGGGGCUAGCGUUGUUCGGAAUUACUGGGCGUAAAGCGCGUGUAGGCGGGUCUUUAAGUCAGGGGUGAAAUGCCAGGGCUCAACCUUGGAACUGCCUUUGAUACUGGAGAUCUUGAGUCCGGGAGAGGUGAGUGGAACUGCGAGUGUAGAGGUGAAAUUCGUAGAUAUUCGCAAGAACACCAGUGGCGAAGGCGGCUCACUGGCCCGGUACUGACGCUGAGAUGCGAAAGCGUGGGGAGCAAACAGGAUUAGAUACCCUGGUAGUCCACGCUGUAAACGAUGGAUGCUAGCCGUUAGGCAGCUUGCUGCUUAGUGGCGCAGUUAACACUUUAAGCAUCCCGCCUGGGGAGUACGGUCGCAAGAUUAAAACUCAAAGGAAU
Molecule: ribosomal RNA, 636 nt
Filed under: uncultured bacterium
Lineage: Bacteria
Description: bacterial SSU rRNA
Rfam family: Bacterial small subunit ribosomal RNA
Source: RNAcentral